AAGACUAUAGACCUGCGGAGUACCUGCGGAGGGAUCAUUAGUGAACGCCCUCGCGGGCUUAUAACUAUUCCAAACCUCUGUGAACCGUGCCCUUCGGGGCUAUUUUACAAACAUGGUGUAAUGAACGUCAUAUAUCAUAACAAAACAAAACUUUCAACAAUGGAUCUCU
RNAcentral lists this unclassified non-coding RNA (169 nucleotides) under soil metagenome. RNAcentral's name for it is "partial contains 5.8S ribosomal RNA, internal transcribed spacer 2, and large subunit ribosomal RNA". The record is from RNAcentral.